GACGAACGCUGGCGGCGUGCUUAACACAUGCAAGUCGAACGAAGAGCGAUGGAAGCUUGCUUCUAUCAAUCUUAGUGGCGAACGGGUGAGUAACGCGUAAUCAACCUGCCCUUCAGAGGGGGACAACAGUUGGAAACGACUGCUAAUACCGCAUACGAUCUGACCUCGGCAUCGAGGAUAGAUGAAAGGUGGCCUCUACAUGUAAGCUAUCGCUGAAGGAGGGGAUUGCGUCUGAUUAGCUAGUUGGAGGGGUAACGGCCCACCAAGGCGAUGAUCAGUAGCCGGUCUGAGAGGAUGAACGGCCACAUUGGGACUGAGACACGGCCCAGACUCCUACGGGAGGCAGCAGUGGGGAAUCUUCCGCAAUGGACGAAAGUCUGACGGAGCAACGCCGCGUGAGUGAUGACGGCCUUCGGGUUGUAAAGCUCUGUUAAUCGGGACGAAAGGCCUUUUUGCGAAUAGUGAGAAGGAUUGACGGUACCGGAAGAGAAAGCCACGGCUAACUACGUG
This 510-nucleotide ribosomal RNA is filed under the name uncultured bacterium. RNAcentral describes it as "partial 16S ribosomal RNA". It matches the Rfam family "Bacterial small subunit ribosomal RNA", at positions 28 to 507 of the family's 1533-position model. The record is from RNAcentral.